AACGCGAAGAACCUUACCAGGGCUUGACAUGGAGAGGCCGUGUCCAGAGAUGGGCAUUCCCGCAAGGGCCUCUUGCACAGGUGCUGCAUGGCUGUCGUCAGCUCGUGUCGUGAGAUGUUGGGUUAAGUCCCGCAACGAGCGCAACCCUUGUUACCAGUUGCUACCAUUUAGUUGAGCACUCUGGUGAGACCGCCUCGGAUAACGGGGAGGAAGGCGGGGAUGACGUCAAGUCCUCAUGGCCUUUAUGUCCAGGGCUACACACGUGCUACAAUGGCCGGUACAAACCGUUGCAAACCCGCGAGGGGGAGCUAAUCGGAAAAAGCCGGCCUCAGUUCGGAUUAGAGUCUGCAACUCGACUCUAUGAAGCUGGAAUCGCUAGUAAUCGCGGAUCAGAACGCCGCGGUGAAUACGUUCCCGGGCCUUGUACACACCGACUGUAC
Molecule: ribosomal RNA, 440 nt
Filed under: uncultured bacterium
Lineage: Bacteria
Description: bacterial SSU rRNA
Rfam family: Bacterial small subunit ribosomal RNA
Source: RNAcentral